CCUACGGGAGGCAGCAGUGGGGAAUAUUGCACAAUGGGGGAAACCCUGAUGCAGCGACGCCGCGUGAGUGAAGAAGUAUUUCGGUACGUAAAGCUCUAUCAGCAGGGAAGAAAAUGACGGUACCUGACUAAGAAGCCCCGGCUAACUACGUGCCAGCAGCCGCGGUAAUACGUAGGGGGCAAGCGUUAUCCGGAUUUACUGGGUGUAAAGGGAGCGUAGACGGCCAGACAAGUCAGAAGUGAAAGCCCAGGGCUCAACCCUGGGACUGCUUUUGAAACUGCCGGGCUGGAGUGCAGGAGAGGUAAGCGGAAUUCCUAGUGUAGCGGUGAAAUGCGUAGAUAUUAGGAGGAACACCAGUGGCGAAGGCGGCUUACUGGACUGUAACUGACGUUGAGGCUCGAAAGCGUGGGGAGCAGACAGGAUUAGAUACCCCAGUAGUC
Molecule: ribosomal RNA, 440 nt
Filed under: uncultured bacterium
Lineage: Bacteria
Description: partial 16S ribosomal RNA
Rfam family: Bacterial small subunit ribosomal RNA
Source: RNAcentral